GAUGAACGCUAGCGGCAGGCCUAAUACAUGCAAGUCGAGGGGCAGCGGGAAUAGCAAUAUUUGCCGGCGACCGGCGCACGGGUGCGUAACACGUAUACAAUCUGCCCAUAUCAGGGGGAUAGCCCGGAGAAAUCCGGAUUAAUACCCCAUAAUAGUCGAGGAGGCAUCUUCUUGAUUUGAAAGCUUAAGGAAUAUUGGACAAUGCCCGCAAGGGUGAUCCAGCCAUGCCGCGUGCAGGAAGAAGGCCCUAUGGGUCGUAAACUGCUUUUACACCGGAGAAAACCCCCUUACGUGUAAGGGGCUGAUAGUAUGGUGAGAAUAAGCAUCGGCUAACUUCGUGCCAGCAGCCGCGGUAAU
Molecule: ribosomal RNA, 357 nt
Filed under: uncultured bacterium
Lineage: Bacteria
Description: partial 16S ribosomal RNA
Rfam family: Bacterial small subunit ribosomal RNA
Source: RNAcentral